Molecule: long non-coding RNA, 1102 nt
Organism: Lepisosteus oculatus (spotted gar)
Lineage: Eukaryota; Metazoa; Chordata; Actinopteri; Semionotiformes; Lepisosteidae
Source: RefSeq, a predicted model, not a curated record
GUCGUGGACACAACGUUUCGGCCAUGGAGCCUUCUUCAGGGGUGAGGGGGAGAGGGAAAAUAGCCGCUGAUAAAGUAUGGUUCAGCAUGAUAUCCCCCUGCUUUAUCAACUCUUCUGAUGAGGCGUUAAGCAGGGGUCUUGAUUACACUGUCUGGAGUCAGAUGCCUUUGAUUCUGUAAGUGCACAAUGUCUGCCUUGCACGCAGCUCACCAGGCUGUGUGUGGUCAACACAGGAGAGCUCGUGCCUGUCCCUGUCUUCCGUUUGUGAGCUGCUGCUGGAGAUGGCCCGGUCCGGUCCCAGACUCUCCCGCUCAUCUCGGCGCAUUGGUGAUGGUGACGCGCCAGAAGCGUCUCUCCCAAGCGAGCGGGCAAAGACGUUGCUGUGAGCUUCCGGAGCCUCUCUGCUGCGGCCACGAGGAGUCACGUCGUCGAUGCGUACGAGCGAGCCGGUUCCGGGGGUGACCAUGCGUGUCCGGCCAUGACGGGACCUCCGAGCUUCACACCUGUGCUGGUGUCUCUGGGGCUUCUGCAGGUCCUGUCUUUCUGCGCGACCUCACCCCUCUAUCACCUCAGUGAAGGGUCGUCUUUCUGUCAUCUGUCCACAAAACUCUUCCCAAGCUCUCCUGGUUCAUCUUUAUAACUGUGGGCAAACUGUGGCCUGGCUUUUCAGCUCUUGGUGCUGAUCAGAUCUGUGUGAUCUGUGGACUGAAUACCCUCCCUCUGCGCUCUGGAGACUGUGCAUGUGGGAUUUUCCCAGACAGGUCAGAGGAUUGCUGCUUGUCAGGAUGCCAUCAGCCGUGGAUACUGUUCUGGGCUGCUGCGAAAUGACCUGCUUUUCUUCUGACGUUUCAUUUUGACUUUCGACAUACGGACUCAGAGCGCCGAAGUCGAAGUGAGACAGGCGGGCAGGGCGUUCGGGGUAAUUCCCCAAUAACGAACAUCUGACUGAACGGACAGCUGUUCUGAUACUUCUGCCCCCUCAAAAUCGAGCGCCUCCACGCUGUCGGAGUGUUCAUCUGAGCUCCGAGGGCAGAACUGAAUUGAUUUCACUUAAAAAUAAAAUACCCAGGAGCUGUAUGCAUCAGCCAGGAUUGUUAAAUGA